GGUGGCUCAGUGGUAGAGCACUUGCCUUGCAUGCCAGCGGUCCUGGGUUCGAUUCCUCAGUACCA
Molecule: non-coding RNA, 65 nt
Organism: Dipodomys ordii (Ord's kangaroo rat)
Lineage: Eukaryota; Metazoa; Chordata; Mammalia; Rodentia; Heteromyidae
Source: Rfam